UAAAUUUUUUAUGGUUUAAAAAAUUUAUAAUAAAUUUGUUUUACAUAUAAAUUUUAGUGUUAAUUUUUAAUUAUUUUAAUAAUAAUUAAUUAAAGUUAAAAUAGUAAUUAAUAUUAAAAAUUUAAGAAAUUAAGAUUUAGCAUUAUAUGAAUUAUUAACUAAUUUUGUGCCAGCAGUUGCGGUUAUACAAAAAAUAAAUUAAAUUUUUUUAGUGUUUAAUAAAUAAUUAAUUAUAAUAAUUUAAAAUUUAAAUUAUUAAGUGAAAUUUUAAUUUAAUAAAAAUUUAUUAAAAAUUUAUGUUAUUAAUAAAUUUUAUAAAAAACUAGGAUUAGAUACCCUAUUAUUAAAAAUUUAAAUUAAAAAUACUAAAAUAGUAGAUAAUUAUUUAUUGAAACUUAAAUAAUUUGGCGGUAUUUUAGUUCUUUUAGAGGAAUCUGUUUAUUAAUUGAUAAUCCACGAAUUAAUUUACUUAAUUUAAAAGUUUAUAUAUCGUUGUUAAAAAAAUAUUUUUUAAUAAAAAUAAUAUUUUAAAAUUUAAAUAAAAAAUUAAAUCAGAUCAAGAUGUAGUUUAUAGUUAAGAAUAUAAUGGAUUACAAUAAAUUUAUUUAUAUGGAAUUUAAUUAGUAAUGGUUAAAUGAAAGUGGAUUUAAAUGUAAUUUUUUUUUAAUUAAUAAAAUGAUUAAAAAUUAAAAUAUGUACAUAUUGCCCGUCGCUUUCAUUUAUAAAUUGGAAUAAGUCGUAACAAAGUAGAGGUACUGGAAAGUGUUUCUAGAAAGA
RNAcentral lists this non-coding RNA (777 nucleotides) under Promustilia yajiangensis. Lineage: Eukaryota; Metazoa; Arthropoda; Insecta; Lepidoptera; Endromidae. The record is from RNAcentral.